RNAcentral lists this ribosomal RNA (500 nucleotides) under uncultured bacterium. RNAcentral's name for it is "partial 16S ribosomal RNA". It matches the Rfam family "Bacterial small subunit ribosomal RNA", at positions 30 to 523 of the family's 1533-position model. The record is from RNAcentral.
AUUGAACGCUGGCGGCAUGCCUUACACAUGCAGGUCGAACGGCAGCACGGGAGCAAUCCUGGUGGCGAGUGGCGAACGGGUGAGUAAUGUAUCGGAACGUGCCCAGUCGUGGGGGAUAACGUAGCGAAAGCUACGCUAAUACCGCAUACGAUCUAUGGAUGAAAGCGGGGGAUCGCAAGACCUCGCGCGAUUGGAGCGGCCGAUAUCAGAUUAGGUAGUUGGUGGGGUAAAGGCUCACCAAGCCGACGAUCUGUAGCUGGUCUGAGAGGACGACCAGCCACACUGGGACUGAGACACGGCCCAGACUCCUACGGGAGGCAGCAGUGGGGAAUUUUGGACAAUGGGCGCAAGCCUGAUCCAGCAAUGCCGCGUGCAGGAUGAAGGCCUUCGGGUUGUAAACUGCUUUUGUACGGAACGAAAAGGUCUCUCUUAAUACGGGGGGCUCAUGACGGUACCGUAAGAAUAAGCACCGGCUAACUACGUGCCAGCAGCCGCGGUAA